GUGGGGAAUCUUAGACAAUGGGGGAAACCCUGAUCUAGCCAUGCCGCGUGAUCGAUGAAGGCCUUAGGGUUGUAAAGAUCUUUCAGGUGGGAAGAUAAUGACUGUACCACCAGAAGAAGCCCCGGCUAACUCCGUGCCAGCAGCCGCGGUAAUACGGAGGGGGCUAGCGUUGUUCGGAAUUACUGGGCGUAAAGCGCACGUAGGCGGAUUGGAAAGUUGGGGGUGAAAUCCCGGGGCUCAACCCCGGAACUGCCUUCAAAACUCCCAGUCUUGAGUUCGAGAGAGGUGAGUGGAAUUCCGAGUGUAGAGGUGAAAUUCGUAGAUAUUCGGAGGAACACCAGUGGCGAAGGCGGCUCACUGGCUCGAUACUGACGCUGAGGUGCGAAAGCGUGGGGAGCAAACAGGAUUAGAUACCCGGGUAGUCC
RNAcentral lists this ribosomal RNA (425 nucleotides) under uncultured bacterium. Its description in RNAcentral is "partial 16S ribosomal RNA". It matches the Rfam family "Bacterial small subunit ribosomal RNA", at positions 354 to 796 of the family's 1533-position model. The record is from RNAcentral.